This 484-nucleotide ribosomal RNA is filed under the name uncultured bacterium. RNAcentral describes it as "partial 16S ribosomal RNA". It matches the Rfam family "Bacterial small subunit ribosomal RNA", at positions 30 to 507 of the family's 1533-position model. The record is from RNAcentral.
AUUGAACGCUGGCGGCAGGCCUAACACAUGCAAGUCGAGCGGAUGAAGGGAGCUUGCUCCUGGAUUCAGCGGCGGACGGGUGAGUAAUGCCUAGGAAUCUGCCUGGUAGUGGGGGAUAACGUCCGGAAACGGGCGCUAAUACCGCAUACGUCCUGAGGGAGAAAGUGGGGGAUCUUCGGACCUCACGCUAUCAGAUGAGCCUAGGUCGGAUUAGCUAGUUGGUGGGGCAAGGGCCUACCAAGGCGACGAUCCGUAACUGGUCUGAGAGGAUGAUCAGUCACACUGGAACUGAGACACGGUCCAGACUCCUACGGGAGGCAGCAGUGGGGAAUAUUGGACAAUGGGCGAAAGCCUGAUCCAGCCAUGCCGCGUGUGUGAAGAAGGUCUUCGGAUUGUAAAGCACUUUAAGUUGGGAGGAAGGGCAGUAAGUUAAUACCUUGCUGUUUUGACGUUACCAACAGAAUAAGCACCGGCUAACUUCGUG